RNAcentral lists this ribosomal RNA (19 nucleotides) under Rhizoctonia solani. Its description in RNAcentral is "partial 18S ribosomal RNA". Lineage: Eukaryota; Fungi; Basidiomycota; Agaricomycetes; Cantharellales; Ceratobasidiaceae. The record is from RNAcentral.
ACGUGCGGAAGGAUCAUUA